RNAcentral lists this ribosomal RNA (496 nucleotides) under uncultured bacterium. Its description in RNAcentral is "partial 16S ribosomal RNA". It matches the Rfam family "Bacterial small subunit ribosomal RNA", at positions 29 to 507 of the family's 1533-position model. The record is from RNAcentral.
AUGAACGCUGGCGGCGUGCCUAAUACAUGCAAGUCGAGCGAACAGACGAGGAGCUUGCUCCUCUGACGUUAGCGGCGGGCGGGUGAGUAACACGUGGAUAACCUACCUAUAAGACUGGGAUAACUUCGGGAAACCGGAGCUAAUACCGGAUAACAUGUUGAACCGCAUGGUUCAACAGUGAAAGACGGUCUUGCUGUCACUUAUAGAUGGAUCCGCGCCGCAUUAGCUAGUUGGUAAGGUAACGGCUUACCAAGGCAACGAUGCGUAGCCGACCUGAGAGGGUGAUCGGCCACACUGGAACUGAGACACGGUCCAGACUCCUACGGGAGGCAGCAGUAGGGAAUCUUCCGCAAUGGGCGAAAGCCUGACGGAGCAACGCCGCGUGAGUGAAGAAGGUCUUCGGAUCGUAAAACUCUGUUAUUAGGGAAGAACAAAUGUGUAAGUAACUAUGCACGUCUUGACGGUACCUAAUCAGAAAGCCACGGCUAACUACGUG